Canis lupus familiaris (dog) is the source of this 1563-nucleotide long non-coding RNA. RefSeq lists it as uncharacterized. The record is from RefSeq and is a predicted model, not a curated record. The transcript is spliced from 2 exons. Lineage: Eukaryota; Metazoa; Chordata; Mammalia; Carnivora; Canidae.
CCGGAUGUGACUUAGAUCUUUGAAGGGAGAAGAUAGGGGCUUGGGCAGGUGGGGAGGGACCCGAAGCGCUCAGUGUUGGGUUGAGUCCCUUCUCACUCGGGAAAGGGGUAGACUUGCAGAGUCAUCACCUGCCCAGGACUCCACUGACCCUUUGUCCUCUCAAGGGCCAUAGUCUCACCUCCAAAAGAAUUGAGAAAAAGAGGGGAAACCCCCAACAACCACAGCAUGUGUCAACGUAAUUUCGCAGGCGCCGCGGAGGGAGUAUAUCCUGCCAGGGGCCCGCUGGCCAAGGUCUUAAUAGACUCGGCUCUUCCAAGAAAUGGACCCAGAACCAAUGGAGCUGAAGGUGGCCGGACCGGGGCUCAGUGGCCGAGGGGACCAGGCAUUGGCUGCGCUCCCAUUACUUCGUUAAGCGGUGUCAUGCUUCCUCCCCUGUCUCUGUCUCUGUCUCUCUCUCUUUUUAAUUUUUUCCCUCCUACUGUGAGAACUGUUCACUUGGAGACUCCCUGUCUUAAUUACAAAGAGCCCUUUUAACCAUAGGUCACAGGACUUGGCUCUCUUGACGGGAAAUAAGGAAACAAGCUACCUUCCUGGAAAAAAAAAAUCAAACUUCCACUUCUCAAAUUAGUUAAAUGAAGCUUAUCAACGGUUGGGAGUUGAGACUUUGACAGUUGGCUAAUUGCAGUUGGUACAUUAACUAUGUUUUAACCAGAGCUGUUGGGGAUGUAAGUAAAUAAAAAAAUAAAGCCCAGGCUCUUCCAGGGGGAAGGCAAAGUGCCGAAGCAAUGAGGAAAAAAAUGUUAAAGGGUUUAAUCUCAGUCUUUCUGGCUGUAAGUAUCAUAAUACGGAAUGGAGUCCAGGCCUUUAACAUUUUAAUUAAAUAGAUUCACAAGCAUUAACAUUUUUAAAAAUGACUUUGAGAUCACUUUCAAUCUGAGGAAGUUCCCUCUCUCUCUCUCUCUCUCUUUCUCUCUUUUGAUUCUACCUUCAAAAUAUCCUCUGCCUGUAUAGUUUAGUAUGAAAUAUGCUAUGGAAGAUCUCCCUAGCAAAUAUCUGGUUCCUCGUCUGUGUACACCAGUCUCAAAUACAGAACGUUUUCAAAAGAAGAUAAAUCUUAGUGGAAUUGGUUUAUUUUCUGAUCUGCAAUUCUUUAACAUUAUUACAGAAGAUGGAAUAUCAGUUACGGUGAGGUAUAGAACUGCAGCAAGAAACGUCCACUCCAGUGACUUCCUUAUGGAAGGGCUAUUAUAAGGCCAACAGAGAGCAAGCAACCUAGAUUUAGGAAAAUAUAAUGGUGUUUCUGUGUACUUAAUUUAUCAUUUGUACUCACACGUAGUGUCAGAGUGGUAUUUAUAGUGUGGCCCGAGUUACAGGAGUAUAAAAGAAUGAGAAGUCUAAGAAGACAUAUUAUUACAUUCUUCCAGCUUAGAUUUUAGCUAUAAUUUUAGUAAUGUUCUUUCAUGCUGUUUUGUCUUCUAACAGAUUCCACAGUUCCUUAUGUCUCUCUGGAUGUGUGUAUGUGUAUAUAUAUGUUUAUACAUAUAUACAUAUAUAUUUAUUGAA